This 512-nucleotide ribosomal RNA is filed under the name uncultured bacterium. Its description in RNAcentral is "bacterial SSU rRNA". It matches the Rfam family "Bacterial small subunit ribosomal RNA", at positions 34 to 518 of the family's 1533-position model. The record is from RNAcentral.
CGCUGGCGGCGUGCCUAAUACAUGCAAGUCGAACGGCUUUUCUAUGGAAGCUUGCUUCCACUGAGAAGAUAGUGGCGAACGGGUGAGUAACACGUGGGUAACCUGCCCAUAAGAGGGGGGAUAACAUCCGGAAACGGGUGCUAAUACCGCAUAGUUUUCUUGAUCGCAUGAUUGAGAAAGGAAAGACGGCCUUUGUGCUGUCGCUUAUGGAUGGACCCGCGGCGUAUUAGUUAGUUGGUGAGGUAACGGCUCACCAAGACGAUGAUACGUAGCCGACCUGAGAGGGUGAUCGGCCACAUUGGGACUGAGACACGGCCCAAACUCCUACGGGAGGCAGCAGUAGGGAAUCUUCCGCAAUGGACGAAAGUCUGACGGAGCAACGCCGCGUGAGUGAAGAAAGGUUUUCGGAUCGUAAAACUCUGUUGUCAGAGAAGAACAAGUUGGAGAGUAACUGCUCCAGCCUUGACGGUAUCUGACCAGAAAGCCACGGCUAACUACGUGCCAGCAGCCGC